This is an RNA transcript of Macadamia integrifolia, 1950 nucleotides long. It is a transcript of the gene named E3 ubiquitin-protein ligase makorin-like, with no coding region annotated. The transcript is spliced from 9 exons. NCBI's taxonomy places the organism in Eukaryota, Viridiplantae, Streptophyta, Magnoliopsida, Proteales, Proteaceae. The record is from RefSeq and is a predicted model, not a curated record.
UACCCUCCACCAUUAAUCUUCCUUUGUCUCCCAUCAAUAUGAAUGGAUUUUAAGGGUUCGAAUGUUUCGGUUAAUUUCGUAUUCUUCAAUGGAUAAUCCCCAAAAGAAAUUAACGAACCACCAAAAACCCUAGAAAUUCAGGAGAAGCAGGAGUUUGAUUCCUAUAUAUACCUUAAUCUUGGGAAAGAUUGGAAGUUUGGAUUUGAAGAAACUCGCCAUGUCGAAGAGGAUUCUUUGCAAGUUUUUUGUGCAUGGAGCAUGUUUGAAAGGGGAGCACUGUGAAUUCUCUCAUGACUGGAAGGAUCAAUCAAAUAAUGUAUGCACCUUCUAUCAGAGAGGAGUGUGCUCUUAUGGUAGUCGAUGCAGGUAUGAUCAUGUUAAAGUUUCUCGUCAGCAGAAUUCUGUUUCAUCAGCAUCAACAGAUUCUCACCAGCACCCAGCUCCAGAUUCUGUUCAAGUGGUUCAUCCUAGAACUGCUUUGAGUGGGGAAACAACUAAUGUCCUUAGUGUUCCUGCAGAGCUAUCAGCUUUGAGUAGACCUUUCUUUCCUCCCAGCAUACCAGCAUGGAGUUGUGAUACUGAAGAUCAUAGCUUCUCUGAUGAUGAGAAUGAUGGGGAGUCUACAAUCACUCAACCUUCUGACCGGCCUAUAUGUUCAUUUGCUGCUGCUGGUAGUUGUCCUCGUGGGGAGAGAUGCCCACAAAUUCAUGGGGACUUAUGUGCCACUUGUGGAAAACAUUGCUUGCAUCCAUAUAGGCCUGAUGAAAGAGAGGAGCACAUAAGAUCAUGUGAAAGAAAUAAAAAACACCUUGAGGCGUUGAAACAUAGUCAAGAAAUAGAGUGCAGUGUGUGUUUAGAUCGUGUGCUUUCAAAGCCCACUGCUGCUGAACGGAAGUUUGGGUUGCUAUCAGACUGUGAUCAUCCCUUCUGCGUAUCCUGUAUCAGAAAUUGGCGCAGCAGUUCCCCGUCCGCUGGCAUGGAUGUUAAUACUGCACUGAGGGCCUGCCCAAUAUGUCGCAAACUAUCAUACUUUGUUAUUCCGAGUGUGAUUUGGUAUUCUAAAAAGGAAGAAAAGCAGGAGAUCAUUGACAGCUAUAAAGCAAGACUCAGGUCUAUUGAUUGCAGGUACUUCGACUUCGGAAAUGGGACAUGCCCCUUUGGGACUAGUUGUUUCUACAAGCAUGCCUAUCGUGAUGGUCGCCUGGAAGAAGUUGUUCUGCGGCAUCUUGGAUCUGAAGAUGGAAACAGUGUAAUUGCUAAAGACAUAAGGCUUUCUGAAUUCCUUGGUAAUUUGCAUCUAAGGUGAUCAGAACUGGCUGGGAAAGCUUCCAAGGAUAUUCACUUUGGUUAGAAUGAAUUCCAUUGAAGUCUUAAAAAGCUGCUUUUUCUGACUUGUCUCCAUAUGGUGACUCAUUCUGAAGUUGGUUGCUGGGGACCCAAAAGCUGGACUUAAACGGGAAUGUAUUAAUAAACAGCUUUCACUAUGAACUAAGGUGGUUAGGGAAGAAAUGGAUGAAACAAAAUGGAUUAUUAUGCUGAGGCUUGAAGAUUUUUGAGAAUUUCCUUUUGGAGCAUUGUCUCAUGGAUCCCCAAUGGUAGCAUCCUUGAAAGGGUUCACAAUAAUGUGCAAUGAAUAGUUGUGCAUGUACGUGGCGAUCUCCAGACCGUCAUUUUUACAUUAAGACUCAAUAUAUAUAUAUAUAUAUAUAUGGGUUUAGCUAUUAAAUUUGUCAAUAUGAUGAGAUUUUAUAGGAAAAUAUCUUUGGAAGUUUGUAUGUUCAUGAAUUAUUCCAGAGGAACAAUACUAUGGCAUUAGUUAUGCAGGCAUGAAGUUGUGCUUUGCAGAGCAGAAGUAACAGAUUUUCUGUUUUUCUUUUUUUAAAAAAUUAAUUAGUAACUGGAAAUUCUUUGCAUAACGUUUCUAAUGGGAGUUGAAGAUUAGUUGUGGUU